This 2648-nucleotide long non-coding RNA is filed under the name Capsella rubella. RNAcentral's name for it is "long non-coding RNA (CRUB_LNC001436)". Lineage: Eukaryota; Viridiplantae; Streptophyta; Magnoliopsida; Brassicales; Brassicaceae. The record is from RNAcentral.
UAAGAAAUUUUAGAAUAAAGACAAAAUUUGUAAAUGAUGUGAAAUGUCAUGCAUAUGUGAUCACUUCCUCUUAGAGGGUCGUCCUGAUUUCCUUGUAAUGAUUUUGAUAUGUAUAGAGGCCGAGGUAAAGGAGAGUACACCAAACUGUUUAACGACGGAACCUAUAGUUGUGCUGGCUGUGCAACUCCUCUUUACAAGUCCACCACUAAGUUCGACUCUGGUUGUGGCUGGCCUUCCUUCUUUGAUGCUAUCCCUGGUGCCAUUAAACGAACGGUACUUGACAUAUUCUUCUUUUCUAUUCUUUUAUGAAACACACUUGUUUUUUUUUCUGUUCUUUCAUGACGCACUAUUAUUUUAGUAUUGUCCACUAAACAAGUUGUAUAAUUAAUGUUUUUUUUGUAUAAUUAAUGUUUUUAUGUAUAUAUCAGCCGGAGGCAGGAGGGAGACGAAUGGAGCUCACGUGUGCGACAUGUGAUGGACAUUUAGGCCAUGUUGUCAAAGGAGAAGGCUUUCCCACAGCAACCGAUGAACGUCACUGCGUCAACAGUGUUUCUCUCAAGUUUUCCGAAAUUUCUUCCCAAUAAAACGACAUAUCUAUAUUUGAUGACCACUCUUGUUCGACCAAUUCAUCUCCUUCAAGAAAAUUUGAAGUUCAAGUGUGAUUGUUUGAGAUUGUUAUGUCAUGUUCGUUCCUAGUCAUGUGUGAUAUGCUACCAUUGUUGUUUGUCACUUGUGUGAUAUGCUCCCAUUGUUGUUUUGCACUUGUGUGUUUUUUUUUCCUUCUCUCAACUAUAUAUAUUAUAUGUUAUUUUUCCAUUGACCACCUUGAUAUGUUAAAUGUACGUAAGUCUUAUAUUAUGAAAGUUUUUUUUUUUUGGUUUUAUAUUAUAAAAAUUUAGCUUUUUAAUCAUAUAUAUAUAUAUAUAUAAUUUAAUUAGUAAGCCUAAUAUUUAAUAAAUGCGUUUGUGGGUAUAUGCCAAAUUUUUAUUAUAAGGGAUUUGCUUACGUUGCCAAUAUUAUUUGAUUUUGAAAUCAUGAGUAUCUAUUGGCUGAGAGACUUGAAAGACAAUCUUCUUCUUCUUCUUUAUUUUUUUUUGUUUUUUUUUAACUUUAUAAAACUACAAGAUAUAUGACGAACUUAUAAGCCAUACUGUUAAUUACUUUGUAGCAAAUUGAAGAAUAUAAUGCUAAAAUUUUGCGAUAGAGUGAAGUUUCCUCCUUAUCAUAUUAGCUUUCCAAGCAACAUUUUAUCAUCUAGAGAAAAAAAAAAAAAAAAAAGAUGGACGAGUUCACUAAACCGCUACGUACUCAUUGUGUUCCACUUAUCUCUCUCGAAAAUUUUACAAACUGAUUUACAACAACAUAAGCUAGAUUCGCGUAGAAGUAUCAUCUCACCUAAACAUUGGUUCGCUAUCCGUAACGAUUACAUUAAAGAAGGAUACAUUAGUUGCUCCAAAUAAAAUAAAAUAAAAUAAAAUAAAAUAAAAAGAAGAAGGAUGAAUUAUUAUUAUUUCACAUAUAUAACAUGAAAAACAUGCAUGUUUUUUUUCAACGUUAUAAGUUAUAUGCUAUAUUCAUGCAAAUAGUGCGAACCAAGUCUUUUUUUAUCUUACAUUAUAUUAUCAUAUGAAAUCUCAAGGAAAUUAGGAAAAUAGGCUUUAGUCAACAUUGGCUUCUUCUACGUGCAACGAGACAAAAAAAAAAAAAAAAAAAAAAAAAGAGAGAACAGGGGAAGUAGGUUCCUAUAUAUAAAUUAUUACACGAUCAUCAAAGUCCACACAACUAAACGUUCACUAAUUCACCACAACUGUUGCCUUGGUAAGACAUCUCUAUCUCUUUUUCAAUGUCAAUAAUUUUUUUUUGUCAUAGCUCUAGUAUCCAUGCUGGCAAUUAUAUAUUGAUAUCUAUGUAUGAGUUGUAACCUUAUUUUAUUAUGGUAUCUUAGUUGUUAUUAAGAUUCUUGUUACCAUCUUUUAAUUUUGACCCCCAAAAAAAAAGGAAAAAAUGAUUUGUCUAUGCGUAUAUAUAUACUCUCAGCCCUUUAUAGCUCAAUUCACAAAAUCAGUUCUGCUUUCAUUUUCUUAAAAAGGUCUCAAAACCAUCUCUCCGUUGCCUUCAUAGCCACUCAAAUAUAGUAAUCAUGCCAACACCCGCGACAAUGGUGGCUCCAUCAACUGGAUCUUUCCCCAAAAAAGAUCAAGAAUGGCGUGCGGUUUUGUCUCCUGAACAGUUCAGAGUUCUUAGGGAAAAAGGCACAGAGUAAGAAUUAUCUUCUAAAUGUCUAUAUUCCAUUGCAUCUUUCUCUAUACAACAAUAAUUCCAUAAAGAUUAAAGGGUACUAGUCCAAGAUUAAUUAGCCACUACACUUCUCAAAAGAGAUAUAAACCUCACCAUAACAUGCUAUUAUAUGUGUCCGGCUAAGUAAUUCUAGAAAAUGGAUAAAAUGUGUAAAUUAUGUCUAUUGUCACGAAGAUGUGAUCCUUUAGACGGUCUUACUGAUUUGUUUGCAAUGGUUUUGAUAAAUAUAGAGCCAGAGGUAAAGGAGAGUAUACCAAACUGUUUGACGACGGAACCUAUAGUUGUGCUGGCUGUGCAACUCCUCUUUACAAGUCCACCACUAAGUUCGACUCUGGUUGUGGCUGGCCUUC